This 659-nucleotide ribosomal RNA is filed under the name uncultured fungus. RNAcentral describes it as "eukaryotic LSU rRNA". It matches the Rfam family "Eukaryotic large subunit ribosomal RNA", at positions 24 to 664 of the family's 3401-position model. Lineage: Eukaryota; Fungi. The record is from RNAcentral.
CCCGCUGAACUUAAGCAUAUCAAUAAGCGGAGGAAAAGAAACUAACAAGGAUUCCCCUAGUAACUGCGAGUGAAGCGGGAAGAGCUCAAAUUUAAAAUCUGGCAUGCCUCUGGCUGUCCGAGUUGUAGUCUGGAGAAGUGUUUUCCGUGUUGGACCGUGUAUAAGUCUCUUGGAACAGGGCGUCAUAGAGGGUGAGAAUCCCGUCUUUGACACGGACUACCAAUGCUUUGUGAUGCGCUCUCAAAGAGUCGAGUUGUUUGGGAAUGCAGCUCAAAAUGGGUGGUAAAUUCCAUCUAAAGCUAAAUAUAGGCGAGAGACCGAUAGCGAACAAGUACCGUGAGGGAAAGAUGAAAAGCACUUUGGAAAGAGAGUUAAACAGUACGUGAAAUUGCUGAAAGGGAAACGCUUGAAGUCAGUCAUGUCUGCCAGGACUCAGCCUUGCUUCUGCUUGGUGUACUUUCUGGUCGGAUGGGCCAACAUCAAUUUUGACCGUUGGAAAAAGGCUUUGGGAAUGUGGCACCUUCGGGUGUGUUAUAGCCCUUUGUUGUAUACCACGGCUGGGAUUGAGGACAGCAGCACGCCUUUAUGGCCGGGGUUCGCCUACAUACGUGCUUAUGAUGUUGGCAUAAUGGCUUUAAGCGACCCGUCUUGAAAUACGG